UGGCGGCAGGCUUAACACAUGCAAGUCGAGCGGGCGUAGCAAUACGUCAGCGGCAGACGGGUGAGUAACACGUGGGAACGUACCUUUUGGUUCGGAACAACACAGGGAAACUUGUGCUAAUACCGGAUAAGCCCUUACGGGGAAAGAUUUAUCGCCGAAAGAUCGGCCCGCGUCUGAUUAGCUAGUUGGUGAGGUAACGGCUCACCAAGGCGACGAUCAGUAGCUGGUCUGAGAGGAUGAUCAGCCACACUGGGACUGAGACACGGCCCAGACUCCUACGGGAGGCAGCAGUGGGGAAUAUUGGACAAUGGGCGCAAGCCUGAUCCAGCCAUGCCGCGUGAGUGAUGAAGGCCCUAGGGUUGUAAAGCUCUUUUGUGCGGGAAGAUAAUGACGGUACCGCAAGAAUAAGCCCCGGCUAACUUCGUGCCAGCAGCCGCGGUAAUACGAAGGGGGCUAGCGUUGCUCGGAAUCACUGGGCGUAAAGGGUGCGUAGGCGGGUCUUUAAG
Molecule: ribosomal RNA, 506 nt
Filed under: uncultured Alphaproteobacteria bacterium
Lineage: Bacteria; Pseudomonadati; Pseudomonadota; Alphaproteobacteria
Description: bacterial SSU rRNA
Rfam family: Bacterial small subunit ribosomal RNA
Source: RNAcentral